This 253-nucleotide ribosomal RNA is filed under the name uncultured bacterium. Its description in RNAcentral is "partial 16S ribosomal RNA". It matches the Rfam family "Bacterial small subunit ribosomal RNA", at positions 524 to 776 of the family's 1533-position model. The record is from RNAcentral.
UACAGAGGUCCCAAGCGUUGUUCGGAUUCACUGGGCGUAAAGGGUGCGUAGGUGGCCAGGUAAGUUUGGUGUGAAAGCUCGGAGCUUAACUCCGAAAAGUCAUUGAAUACUAUCUGGCUGGAGGGUCGGAGGGGAGACUGGAAUUCUCGGUGUAGCAGUGAAAUGCGUAGAUAUCGAGAGGAACACCAGUGGCGAAGGCGAGUCUCUGGACGACUCCUGACACUGAGGCACGAAAGCUAGGGGAGCAAACGGG